AGUACUCUGGAAGGCUGAGUCACGUGGAGUUUUCAACUGCUUGCAAGGGAAGAAACUCCAUUUGAAGCUGCUAAGUCCAAGAAAUACACAACAUAUCAAUAGUAAUAAUAAUAAUAAACAUGUAUUAUUAGGGUUAAUAUAGUUUUCAUUAGCCCCUGCUCUUCAUAUAAGAUUUUACCUAGUGUUCAGGAUUUCCCCUAAUGUACACGCACGAGAAACAAUUUAACUAGGCCUACAAAUUCAAUUUAUAUGAUUUUGAUUGUCGUAUUAUUUGUCUUUCAGAAAAAGCUAUAUAAUGUACUCGGUAGCACUUAGAACAAAACCGUUUCGGUAAAUGUUUAGUUUCAGUGGGUCCACCUUAAAAAGACAGUAAUGAAAAUAGAGGGAGUGUUUCGAGGAGAGACGUCACUGGGUUCGCCAUGCGUUAGGAAAAGUAUGUUUGGUUUUUUUUUUUUAUAAUGGGCGUGUCAUGCACCUUUCACUAUAAGAAUAGUGGUAAUUCAACACAACAGACAGUAUCAGUGAUGCUUACGGCAAGAACUCAAUAGGAUCGGGAUAGGAAAAUGACCUCAGAACUAGAGUGUGGUAUUUGUUACCGGAGCUACAACACGGGUCGUCGUCUUCCCAGAGAGCUGGGAUGCCGGCAUACUUUCUGCGAGAGCUGCCUGUCGGCGAUAGUCCGGCAAUCGGCGUGUCCGGCAGAGGCUUGUACGAUUAUCUGCCCGCUAUGCCGCCACUCCACCCCCAUUUCCGCAAGCGGCGAUUUGCGACAGGCGCUCCGGGUGGACGAAGGGCUUCUCGAUCAGACUCUGGCAGCUGGGUUUCUGGAAGACGAAAGUGACAGUGACAGCGAUGGAAAACCCGAGCCCGACCUGUUCAGCCCAAAUCCGGCCUCGGAUCCGGCUCCCAGGACCAGAAAAGGCAAGAUCUGGCGCUCUCUAAGGCGGAUAUAUGGAAGAUUUGUCAGUGAUACCCGCCAGACUUCACCAGAGCAUAGACACCAGUGCAUGACCAACGAAGAAAUGAAGGACAUUGCGUUGAUGUCGUGUUAUAUGAUAUAAUAACCGAAGAUCCCGCUUCUGAUCUGAAAUGAAGAAGUUGUGGGACCUUGACUGUCAAAUAAAGACCAAUGACGUUUUUUGCUACUUGGUAUUGACCAAGGGGAAAAAAACAAUGUUUAACAGUAUUAAACCACUUGUGAACCUGUUUAUAUAAUUAUCUGACGAAACUAUUUCACACUAUGCCUAUUUAUUGAUAAAGGCCCCACCCGUCUCUGAAUUGGAGACUAUGAAAUGAUAACAGGAUAUGUGUAAAAAUACUGUGAUUUUAUGUUUUGUAUUCCCACUUUGUUACAUUGUUUCAAUCCUUGGCAUUCUUUGUAUAAUUGAUUUAAUCGUUAUUUAUUAGGCCUGUAUUAUCCAGAAAUAUUCACGUUUCUGUAAUAAAAUAAAAUACAUUUUACAAUUA
This is a non-coding RNA of Paramormyrops kingsleyae, 1467 nucleotides long. The record is from RefSeq and is a predicted model, not a curated record. NCBI's taxonomy places the organism in Eukaryota, Metazoa, Chordata, Actinopteri, Osteoglossiformes, Mormyridae.